UACGGAGGGUGCAAGCGUUAAUCGGAAUUACUGGGCGUAAAGCGUGCGCAGGCGGUGAUGUAAGACCGAUGUGAAAUCCCCGGGCUUAACCUGGGAACUGCAUUGGUGACUGCAUUGCUCGAGUAUGGCAGAGGGGGGUGGAAUUCCACGUGUAGCAGUGAAAUGCGUAGAGAUGUGGAGGAACACCGAUGGCGAAGGCAGCCCCCUGGGCCAAUACUGACGCUCAUGCACGAAAGCGUGGGGAGCAAACAGG
This 253-nucleotide ribosomal RNA is filed under the name uncultured bacterium. Its description in RNAcentral is "partial 16S ribosomal RNA". It matches the Rfam family "Bacterial small subunit ribosomal RNA", at positions 524 to 776 of the family's 1533-position model. The record is from RNAcentral.